GUGAAACCGCCAACCUUAGGAGUUAGUCUGUUGUUUGUGGUCCUCUCACUGAAAUGCCAUUUCCACACACAGAGGGCUCCUGUCUGCCUGGUCCGCCAUGGGCCCCUGGUGUCUAGCAUGCGGCCCAGCCAUCAGAGGGAACUUGCUGUCCAUCCUGGGUGUACCCGUAUUCCAGCCUAUAUGGUUACCUUCAGACUGCAUCUCCAGCAGACACAGAUGUGAGCCAGAGCUGAACCUCAGCUCCCUGAACUGUGAAAUGAGAGGGCCAUCUCCCUGGUGUCUGUGGAUUCCUCCGUCUCUCUCCUCUAUGCCUGUCUAGAGGGCUUCUGACCUGUGCUGUGGGAGUUCCCCAUCCCUCUCCUCAGAUCCUGCUGUUCCAUGGGACCCAGUUGGCUGUGGCCAGGAGAACAUGGCAGAGCCUCGUUGCAGGGGCCGUGCACUUCAGGAGCAGCUCUUAAUUCAGGACCUUUGGUUCAAGUAGGAGGGCUGCCUUCUGAGCUGUGGCUCUCUUCUGUGAGCCAAUGUCCCCAAGACUCCUUUGUAAGGACUUCUGGCAGGUGUACGAACCAUGAGCUCCCAAGGCAGCGGAAAAAAAAACAAACAGGACAUAGAAAACCCGAGUAGGAGGCAGGCACCCUCCACACGACAGGUGGAGCCUGCCCCGGAGUUCACACAUAUAGACCACAGACAGGGACAAGAUAGACCAGGAGAAAACCAGGCCACACAGAAAGUCAGUCCCAGCCCUGCCAAUAGCUCCUUACCCACCAGGAUACAGUGCCUGACUCCUUCUAGAACCCUCUAGGGCAUAGCUGGAGGGACAGAGUGCUAUAACUCCCUGAAAAGACUAGAUUCCGCCUGAACAGAGUUCAAAUCCAACAAGUCAGGCCCAGAGCCAGGCAUGGAGCUCGGGAAGUCCCUGGGCCCCUGGCAACACCCCCAGCCCACCCCAGACUGCCAGCCAAGCUCCUGGAGACUGUCAGCAAGCUCUCGCCUCUGAUGAAUGAGAGGAAACCCUC
Molecule: long non-coding RNA, 1016 nt
Organism: Peromyscus maniculatus bairdii (prairie deer mouse)
Lineage: Eukaryota; Metazoa; Chordata; Mammalia; Rodentia; Cricetidae
Source: RefSeq, a predicted model, not a curated record